Molecule: ribosomal RNA, 451 nt
Filed under: uncultured bacterium
Lineage: Bacteria
Description: bacterial SSU rRNA
Rfam family: Bacterial small subunit ribosomal RNA
Source: RNAcentral
UGGGGAAUAUUGGACAAUGGGGGCAACCCUGAUCCAGCGAUGCCGCGUGUGUGAAGAAGGCCUGCGGGUUGUAAAGCACUUUAGUUGGGGAGGAAGGGCGUUGAGAUAAAUAAUCUUGAUGCUUUGACGUUACCCAAAGAAUAAGCACCGGCAAACUCUGUGCCAGCAGCCGCGGUAAUACAGAGGGUGCAAGCGUUAAUCGGAAUGACUGGGCGUAAAGGGCGCGUAGGUGGGUGGAUAAGUCGUCGGUGAAAGCCCUGGGCUCAACCUAGGAAUGGCCGAUGAUACUGUUUGUCUAGAGUGAAGUAGAGGGUAGCGGAAUUUCCGGUGUAGCGGUGAAAUGCGUAGAUAUCGGAAAGAACACCAGUGGCGAAGGCGGCUACCUGGACUUUGACUGACACUGAGGCGCGAAAGCGUGGGGAGCGAACAGGAUUAGAUACCCCGGUAGUCC